RNAcentral lists this ribosomal RNA (314 nucleotides) under uncultured soil bacterium. RNAcentral describes it as "bacterial SSU rRNA". It matches the Rfam family "Bacterial small subunit ribosomal RNA", at positions 273 to 604 of the family's 1533-position model. The record is from RNAcentral.
GCGACGAUCAGUAGCUGGUCUGAGAGGAUGAUCAGCCACACUGGGACUGAGACACGGCCCAGACUCCUACGGGAGGCAGCAGUGGGGAAUAUUGGACAAUGGGCGCAAGCCUGAUCCAGCCAUGCCGCGUGAGUGAUGAAGGCCCUAGGGUUGUAAAGCUCUUUCACCCACGACGAUAAUGACGGUAGUGGGAGAAGAAGCCCCGGCUAACUUCGUGCCAGCAGCCGCGGUAAUACGAAGGGGGCUAGCGUUGCUCGGAAUCACUGGGCGUAAAGGGCGCGUAGGCGGCCGAUCAAGUCAGGGGUGAAAGCCUG